RNAcentral lists this long non-coding RNA (1037 nucleotides) under Panax ginseng (ginseng). RNAcentral's name for it is "long non-coding RNA (PGIN_LNC004307)". The record is from RNAcentral. Lineage: Eukaryota; Viridiplantae; Streptophyta; Magnoliopsida; Apiales; Araliaceae.
GCAACCAAAUUGAACCUUCCCGAAAAUCUUUCUACCGGUCCAUUUGCAAAGUCCGGGGCAUGUGAUCGUGGGGGCUUAUCUGUUCAGACUAGUAAGGGGAAAUGAGGUUUGGUUUAAGGAGUUUUGAUCUGCAGUGGGGUGACUUGGGAUUAAAAGGCUUUCGGAUCUUGUUGGUGUGUUGGGGUGGUUUUUGGAUGUUGGGUUUGCUCGGUCCUCCACCAUUCUUCUGACCACUCUUCCUUUGCACUCAUAUCCCCUCCUUGCGGCCCACCCCUUCUCUCUCCCUUGGAGCGUUCGGAUCUGAUCUGGUUGGAGUUGGGAGCCAUCUGGUGUUUCGCAGAGUUUGGAGGUGGUUGGCGCCUUUGGUGGUGCUGUGCUUUCUCGUCUUUUGACCAUAUCAGUUGCUUGAAGCUUGUUGCUCUACUACCUGUUGGACUGAUUUGGUGUUUAAGGGGUUUCCAAUCUGUUUAGAUUAAUUUAUUGCAUAUUUCAUUCUUUCCGAUUGGAUGGUUUUGAGGCCAGACUUUGGGUUAUCCAGUUGUUUUCUGAUCUGAAUAUUUGCAUUUCACUCAUAUCCCUUCAAUGUUUAGAUCUGAACUUCUCAGUGGGAACAUCUUUGGUUCUGGUACCGAAGGAUGGUUCCUUGUUUACUUCCAAUCUUAGCUUAGUUGUUAAUGCUAAAUUUAUUUGCUUGGUUUGGUUGUGUUCUCUUUUGAUUUCCUGAUUCAUUGCUGCCGGAUUGAUCCAGCUGCUGGGUUGGGAUGGAGUUCUCCGACUUUUUUUGGUUGGUGUUUCUGCAGGUGGGGCCCACGUGGGCAUGGUGACUUGUUUAAAGCUAUGCCAUGCGGGAUCCACGGAGUUUAUGAGGGCUGGUGCUUGGAUUUUAAAAGAUUAUGUAGCCUCUUGUGGGUUGUCAAUUGCAGCACUCUAGUCCUUAUUGUUAUAGCUAAAUAUGUCAUUAUCUUUUAGUUAGUGUCUAUUUAGUGGUUUCUUUUUCUAGCUUCAGGUUGUAAGGCAGUAUUAAAUUAAGUUAGGAA